UAAGCACAAUAAGUCAUGUGA
RNAcentral lists this non-coding RNA (21 nucleotides) under Caenorhabditis elegans. Lineage: Eukaryota; Metazoa; Nematoda; Chromadorea; Rhabditida; Rhabditidae. The record is from RNAcentral.